Molecule: ribosomal RNA, 850 nt
Filed under: uncultured fungus
Lineage: Eukaryota; Fungi
Description: SSU rRNA
Rfam family: Eukaryotic small subunit ribosomal RNA
Source: RNAcentral
AUGGCCUUGUGCCGGCGAUGGUUCAUUCAAAUUUCUGCCCUAUCAACUUUCGAUGGUAGGAUAGUGGCCUACCAUGGUUUCAACGGGUAACGGGGAAUUAGGGUUCUAUUCCGGAGAGGGAGCCUGAGAAACGGCUACCACAUCCAAGGAAGGCAGCAGGCGCGCAAAUUACCCAAUCCCGACACGGGGAGGUAGUGACAAUAAAUACUGAUACAGGGCUCUUUUGAGUCUUGUAAUUGGAAUGAGUACAAUUUAAAUCCCUUAACGAGGAACAAUUGGAGGGCAAGUCUGGUGCCAGCAGCCGCGGUAAUUCCAGCUCCAAUAGCGUAUAUUAAAGUUGUUGCAGUUAAAAAGCUCGUAGUUGAACCUUGGGCCUGGCUGGCCGGUCCGCCUCACCGCGUGCACUGGUCCGGCCGGACCUUUCCUCCUGGGGAGCCGCAUGCCCUUCACUGGGUGUGUCGGGGAACCAGGACUUUUACUUUGAAAAAAUUAGAGUGUUCAAAGCAGGCCUAUGCUCGAAUACAUUAGCAUGGAAUAAUAGAAUAGGACGUGUGGUUCUAUUUUGUUGGUUUCUAGGACCGCCGUAAUGAUUAAUAGGGAUAGUCGGGGGCAUCAGUAUUCAAUUGUCAGAGGUGAAAUUCUUGGAUUUAUUGAAGACUAACUACUGCGAAAGCAUUUGCCAAGGAUGUUUUCAUUAAUCAGUGAACGAAGUUAGGGGAUCGAAGACGAUCAGAUACCGUCGUAGUCUUAACCAUAAACUAUGCCGACUAGGGAUCGGGCGAUGUUAUCUUUUUGACUCGCUCGGCACCUUACGAGAAAUCAAAGUUUUUGGGUUCUGGGGGGAGUAUGG